Oryctolagus cuniculus (rabbit) is the source of this 174-nucleotide small nuclear RNA. Its record names the gene U2. It matches the Rfam family "U2 spliceosomal RNA". Rfam says of the family: U2 is a small nuclear RNA (snRNA) component of the spliceosome (involved in pre-mRNA splicing). Complementary binding between U2 snRNA (in an area lying towards the 5' end but 3' to hairpin I) and the branchpoint sequence (BPS) of the intron results the bulging out of an unpaired adenosine, on the BPS, which initiates a nucleophilic attack at the intronic 5' splice site, thus starting the first of two transesterification reactions that mediate splicing. The record is from Ensembl. Lineage: Eukaryota; Metazoa; Chordata; Mammalia; Lagomorpha; Leporidae.
AUCGCUUCUCAGUCUUUUGGCUAAGAUCAAGUGUAGUAUCUGUUCUUAUCAGUUUAAGUGAGUGCAUCAACAAAACAGGUUGACCCAGAUUAGCCUCUGGAUGAUGGAUUGUAGACAUCUGAGAGAAGUAAUAAAGAAGAAUAAUGAAAUUUGAGUCAUAUCAAAGAAAUAUUU